This is a long non-coding RNA of Triticum dicoccoides, 3394 nucleotides long. RefSeq lists it as uncharacterized. NCBI's taxonomy places the organism in Eukaryota, Viridiplantae, Streptophyta, Magnoliopsida, Poales, Poaceae. The transcript is spliced from 3 exons. The record is from RefSeq and is a predicted model, not a curated record.
CUCCUCCGCCCGCUGCCCACAGAGGAACCCGAAGGUUCAUUUUUUUGGAGACGACCGCCCAACACCCGCUCUCCUUCCGACUGUGCCCGUCGUCGUCGACCACAAAGCUAGACCUCUAGGACAGAAACCCCCCUAUACCAACGCAUAUCUGCCAACGGAAUAAUAGCAUGUGUUGUUUGUUUAACUUCCCACCUCGCGCACUCCUCCCCGUUCCUUGGAAAAAGAGCUAUAACCUCCCUGUACCCACCUUCCCCGCCUAUACCUCGUCCAUCAAAUACGACGGGGAAACGAAAAUCUUCUAUCUGCCAUAUCUCCCCCCGAUUCAUCUCUCUCUCACCCAACUGCCAAGACCAUGAUGUUGCCGCCGCCAUGUCCAAUUCCGACUAGAUCCAGUGCCGUCCCGCGUCGUCGCUCAAGGACCCCGGAUCCCCCUCGGUGCUAUCCUCCAAUCUUCCGUUGCGGCGACGUCCUCCACGCCCUGCAGGCGCCCCGCAGCAACCAUAGUCGCCAUGGGUCACGAGGCUGCUCCAUCGCCUGUGGUUUGUAGGCGCAAUACCAUGCGUCUCCAUUGCGCUGCUGCAGGCUGGGGAAUGAUGGUGCUGCUCUGCCCCGGCUACCUUGUGUCGACCACUAAUCUGAACUCUAGUGCAGAACAGAAUACAACCCAAAGGUAUGAUUCAUCUGCUGAUGCUUCCCUCCCUCUGUUUCCAAGCCAAAUUUUGCAUUGAACCUCUGAUGAAAUCUGUUGAUAACAACGUCUCUGUUUUGGAGGAACUCCAAGUCGCCUCGACAUGGCCUUCUGGUUGUCAUACCCAUGAAAUCUGCGAGCUUUGGAAAUCAGUUCGACAGAGUUGUACUACUCCAUGACGAAGAUCUUCAGGGAAAGAUGCAUUUGUACAGCUUACUACAGCAUUGGAGAAAGUGGGGCAAUCCGUUCUCUUCCUUAUACACCUUCCCCUGGUUCAGAAGGCCACUAAGGUUUCAGUUUCGUAAUCUUCUGCUCAUGAUGUAGCAUUCUAAUUUAUUUUGUAUCCUUAAUUUUUACACUAACUGGUCCAUCUAGUCUUUGUUAGUUCAGUCUGCAAAUAUAUGUCUGUUUAUACAGUCUUAAAUUUUGUCCAGUCCCAUAUUUCGUGCAUUCAUAUAGGUAUCGUUUAUCAGUUAUUCAUUGACAUGAAAAUGAUACAUGAUUAGGAAGCUCCGUGGUGACAUAGAUCAAAUUAUCUUGAUAUAUGAUAUGUAAAACUGGGUACAUUCUGACCAAAAAUUGUUCAGCCCUUACAUAUGGCUGGUUUUAUUCGAACUGUUCAGACAUUACAUAGGUUACCUUUGAUGCAUUUUCUUAAAUAUGUAUUCAACUUUUGUACUAGGUUGGUCUUGAAGAAUUAAAUAGUGGCGCAUUAAUUUAUUUUUAUUUUUCUGUAAACAUCCUGGAUCCUAUUUUCUCUAGAAACAAAACUCCCCUAGUUUUCCUAGAGAAGCCCAGAACAAUUCACACCCCCAUCUUUGGCGUCCGCGUCUAGGGCCGAGGCUCAUCCCUUCUAAAUCUCCGCUGGUGGCUCAUGUCCUCAUCUCAGAUCGGGGUGAUGCUGUGAUCAGACAGAAACCCGACUUCCCAUAGCUGCUCAGUAUGGCCGAGUCAGGGGCUCAAGCCAGGUGUGAUGACGGGCAAACAUGGAUUAGAAAGUUGUCCCACAACUCCCCUUUUCUAUUUCUUAGUUCAAUAUGCACGUCUUUUUUUUUCUAUGGGUUGAUAACUCCAGCUGUCCCAAAUUUGAUGAUGCUUUUCUUUCCCAUGUUUCUUCUGCAGGUUCUGAGAUAGUUAGUCAACGAUUAAAAAACCCUAAUGUGUGACAUUGUAGUUCUCAUGAUGUAAAUUAUUUAGAUUUUCAAGCUGUUGGCAUUGAUACUUUUUCUCCUCUAAUACACCAUACCAAGGGUGAGUAGUUCAUGAGUAAUGGUGACAGGAUUUUUUUUAAUGCAGAGACCUUUAGAAAUUGGAAAUGUCCAAUUAUGUAUAGUCGAUGUUAUUGAUACCUACUUACCAUUUAGUUGGUUGCUGAAUUCAUCUCAGUGUUAAUACAAUCUUUGGAUAAUUGUUAGUAGUAAAUACAUGCUGAUGGUUGUUCAUAGUGAACACGCACAUCUGAUUGAUCAAAGAUGAUCGGUGUCUUACUAUGUACUCCUACUAAGUUAUCUAUAAGACACACAUGAGCAUAUGUCUUUUCUCCCACCGAUCUUUUCUUGGACACUUGGUAAUUUUUCUAUAGAUCCUUUUUAGUACAAUGCAUAGCAUGUAUAUUUUUAAACUUAAAAUCUUGAAUUUAUGACUAAAUAGUAUUAUGGUUUUUUGGUAGGUUGAGAAGUUCAAUACUAGAUGAUUAAUAGGAUCUUUGUCCUUGGAGAAUAUAUGCUGAUGCUUGGUACUUGCAGGAGAAUAGAAGUUCUAUGAAUGUUUAGAAUUUUAUAUCAUGUAAAAUGUUUUAUCUUCUAAGUAAGUGAUGUACUCCUAAUUGAUGGUUCUGGCAUUGCAAUGUAAAGAUUGUACAAUUGAAUCAAUAUACCAGUUUCAUUUCCACUCCAUCAAUUUUACUAAAGUUGUCUACUACAGUUCGAAAAAAAGUUGUACCAUGUACCACUAUUCUGACUAUACACACUAUUAUUAAUAAUUAUAUAUCGAGGUUAUUCUAGUGUGCAAACACCAACGGAUAGAAGUGUUGGAUGAAUCUGUUGUUGCCUUGCAACACAUUAUUCUUCAUAUUACCAACGGAUCUAUUGGUGUUACAAUCUGUUGUUGCCUUGCAACGCCACCAACAACAACUUAUAAUAAUCUGUUGGCGUUGACCUUAGCAACACUAAUAUGGACAAACGACAACACAUCGGUGCGUUGCUAAAGGGGGGUUCUUGUUGUAGGACGUCAUAGACCAGAGCACUGGGAAGCACAGGUGCCCUUUCCCACUUCCAAGGUGGAGCACUACGCGGCUGCACCAAGGAGCCCGCAAGAGUUCAUCUCGUCGGAGCACUACGCGGCUGCACCAAGGAGCCCGCCGGAGUUCAUCUUGCCGGAGCACUACGCGGCUGCACCAAGGAGCCCGCCGGAGUACAAAGGUCUCCUUUUCCCCCUUCUACUCCCUUCGCUCUCUUGCAAUUUAUUCUUCAUCUUCAUCGAUUGGUCUACUGGAAAUAGAACAGAGAUAAACGGAGCGAUUGUUAUAACAAAAAGCCACUGUCUUUGAGUAAAUUCAGACCUUUGAUGUUUGAGCCUUUGAUUUUUGAUGUUUGAGCCUCUGAUGUACUGAUAGAUGUUCAAGACAAUAGACAAUUAACAAAUGUUGGAUUACUUGGGUAGCACAGAUUUGGAUUGAAUGUAUUGACAGAGUUCUGAUAAUUUAGA